RNAcentral lists this ribosomal RNA (450 nucleotides) under uncultured bacterium. RNAcentral's name for it is "partial 16S ribosomal RNA". It matches the Rfam family "Bacterial small subunit ribosomal RNA", at positions 354 to 796 of the family's 1533-position model. The record is from RNAcentral.
GUGGGGAAUUUUGGACAAUGGGCGCAAGCCUGAUCCAGCAAUGCCGCGUGUGUGAAGAAGGCCUUCGGGUUGUAAAGCACUUUUGGCAGGAAAGAAAUAGCGCGUGCUAAUACCAUGCGCGAAUGACGGUACCUGCAGAAUAAGCACCGGCUAACUACGUGCCAGCAGCCGCGGUAAGACGUAGGGUGCAAGCGUUAAUCGGAAUUACUGGGCGUAAAGCGUGCGCAGGCGGUUUUGUAAGACAGGUGUGAAAUCCCCGGGCUCAACCUGGGAACUGCACUUGUGACUGCAAGGCUAGAGUGUGUCAGAGGGAGGUGGAAUUCCGCGUGUAGCAGUGAAAUGCGUAGAGAUGCGGAGGAACACCGAUGGCGAAGGCAGCCUCCUGGGAUAACACUGACGCUCAGGCACGAAAGCGUGGGGAGCAAACAGGAUUAGAAACCCUAGUAGUCC